Onychostoma macrolepis is the source of this 470-nucleotide long non-coding RNA. RefSeq lists it as uncharacterized. The transcript has 3 exons. The record is from RefSeq and is a predicted model, not a curated record. Lineage: Eukaryota; Metazoa; Chordata; Actinopteri; Cypriniformes; Cyprinidae.
CCUUAACCCCUUAACACUGACCUGCAAUACCACAUGUCCAUCAGGCAUCCAAUAAGAGUCUUCCAAAGAUGACGUGACAUUAUACUUGUACCAACUUCCUUUUGUUUUUGUGUUUUGUAGUUAGAUUCAUGAGUGCAAUCACUGCUAUCUGGAAACAACUUGUGGAUUAAUUGAUUUUCCAAUGCAGAUGUCAUGAAAAGGAAUCCUACCACAUGAAGAAACAGUACAGGCCUGCAGUUGAGGUGAUGGCUUUCUUUGGAGAUUUCUCCAAGCAAAAACAGGAUCCUGAAUAUGAGGGCAGAAUCAUCAUACAGCCAGCUGUCCGUUUUACAGAAAUGCAGAAUUAGGUUCCUUCAGAUCUUUGUGGCACCAAAUGCAUUGAAAGUCACAGGUCAGCUGGAAUUCUGGAAAGAAGGUGCAAAGAAAAAGGAUCUGCCUGAAUUCCAGAGAGCUUGUCAACUUUGACUGUC